RNAcentral lists this ribosomal RNA (471 nucleotides) under Triticum aestivum (bread wheat). RNAcentral describes it as "partial small subunit ribosomal RNA". Lineage: Eukaryota; Viridiplantae; Streptophyta; Magnoliopsida; Poales; Poaceae. The record is from RNAcentral.
AUGUGUCUCCCGUUCCUCUGCGGCGGCCGCGAUGAUCACGGGCCGUCCCCGCGGCACCAUCGAUCCCCGCCGCCGCAGCACCCUCAUGCAUUUUCAGAUCAUUCAGCAGUACCCCACCGGAAGCAAGCAGCCCCUGGAAAUGCCGGAGGCAGGAGGAUGGAUAACGGACCAGCGCAUCCUGCACCAGGCUGGAUGAACAACUCGGGUGCCGCGGAGAAGACGGGGCCACUAUCUCCAGAGGCUCACCAGGGGUACGUUCCUGCCGGUGCUCCUCGCCAUGAGCCACUGGCAGCUCCGCGGCCGGUGGAGGACUGGACGAGGCAAGGUCCGGCACGGCUAUUCACCCGCCGGGCUGGAGACGACGACGCGCCUACUGCUGCUUCUAACGACCAGGUCAGUCGCGGUGGUAACCGUGGCGGCGCGGGGGAACGCGAAUAUCGGUCGAAAUCACGAGGACCGGUGAUCAGGUGA